UCAAAUCUAUCAAAAACGAACUCUCUCUCUCUAUAUAGGCUUCAGCCUUUAAAAUUUUUCUGGUGCAUAUUUAUCUUUAAUAAUUUUAUAUGUUAUAAUUUGAAGAUGACAACUAAGAAACAAAAGUCUCAUGAUAUUCACACUAUGUUGUGGCAUGCAACCAUUAAAUUUAUUCAUAUAAUACAUGAAUUUUUUAAAUUUUUUCCUAAGAUAUUUGACAAAAUU
Molecule: long non-coding RNA, 225 nt
Filed under: Durio zibethinus
Lineage: Eukaryota; Viridiplantae; Streptophyta; Magnoliopsida; Malvales; Malvaceae
Description: long non-coding RNA (DZIB_LNC000456)
Source: RNAcentral